GACGAACGCUGGCGGCGUGCUUAACACAUGCAAGUCGAGCGGUAAGGCCCUUCGGGGUACACGAGCGGCGAACGGGUGAGUAACACGUGGGUGACCUGCCCUCAGCUCUGGGAUAAGCCUGGGAAACUGGGUCUAAUACCGGAUAUUCACUUCUCAUCGCAUGGUGGGUUGUGGAAAGUGUAGUGACAUUGUUACUGCUUCGGCUGGGGAUGGGCCCGCGGCCUAUCAGCUUGUUGGUGUGGUGAUGGCCUACCAAGGCUUCGACGGGUAGCUGGUCUGAGAGGAUGAUCAGCCACACUGGGACUGAGACACGGCCCAGACUCCUACGGGAGGCAGCAGUGGGGAAUAUUGCGCAAUGGGCGGAAGCCUGACGCAGCGACGCCGCGUGGGGGAUGACGGCCUUCGGGUUGUAAACCUCUUUCGCCAGGGACGAAGCUUUCGGGUGACGGUACCUGGAUAAGAAGCACCGGCCAACUACGUGCCAGCAGCCGCGGUAAUACGUAGGGUGCGAGCGUUGUCCGGAAUUAUUGGGCGUAAAGAGCUCGUAGGCGGUGUGUCGCGUCGGCCGUGAAAACCUGUGGCUUAACUAUGGGCUUGCGGUCGAUACGGGCAUCACUGGAGUUCGGCAGGGGAGACUGGAAUUCCUGGU
This 649-nucleotide ribosomal RNA is filed under the name uncultured Pseudonocardia sp. RNAcentral's name for it is "bacterial SSU rRNA". It matches the Rfam family "Bacterial small subunit ribosomal RNA", at positions 28 to 674 of the family's 1533-position model. Lineage: Bacteria; Bacillati; Actinomycetota; Actinomycetes; Pseudonocardiales; Pseudonocardiaceae. The record is from RNAcentral.